AAGUCGUAACAAGGUUUCCGUAGGUGAACCUGCGGAAGGAUCAUUAACACGUAUCCACACGUAACUACUAACGAGGACCGUUUUCCCGUCUCCCUACCGCUUGAAAUGAAUUGACACCAGUCUGAGGGAGUGAUGGGACUGCUUAGGCGUCGGCCUUCCUGGUAAGAGUUCAAUCUCGACAAUAAUAUUCAUUCGGGGGCUUAUUUCCUGCAACUUUGUUCUCCAUCAACGAGCGUGGCGGCAGGAAAGACCUUUAAACCUAUUUCACCACCCUUUUUGCUAGUUGACUUUUUAUUUGUGUUGAGGGUUAUGCGCAAGCAUGAUUUUUCUCGCACGUUUAAUCUAAUUGAACGUUAAAAAAUACAACUCUUAGCAAUGGAUAUCUUGGUUCUC
Molecule: unclassified non-coding RNA, 393 nt
Filed under: fungal sp.
Lineage: Eukaryota; Fungi
Description: partial internal transcribed spacer region
Rfam family: Eukaryotic small subunit ribosomal RNA (bases 1-46)
Source: RNAcentral